RNAcentral lists this ribosomal RNA (301 nucleotides) under uncultured bacterium. Its description in RNAcentral is "partial 16S ribosomal RNA". It matches the Rfam family "Bacterial small subunit ribosomal RNA", at positions 509 to 807 of the family's 1533-position model. The record is from RNAcentral.
CAGUCGCCACGGGAAUACGUAGGUGGCAAGCGUUAUCCGGAAUUAUUGGGCGUAAAGCGCGCGUAGGCGGUUUUUUAAGUCUGAUGUGAAAGCCCACGGCUCAACCGUGGAGGGUCAUUGGAAACUGGAAAACUUGAGUGCAGAAGAGGAAAGUGGAAUUCCAUGUGUAGCGGUGAAAUGCGCAGAGAUAUGGAGGAACACCAGUGGCGAAGGCGGCUUUCUGGUCUGCAACUGACGCUGAUGUGCGAAAGCGUGGGGAUCAAACAGGAUUAGAUACCCCAGUAGUCCCUGUCUCUUAUAC